Long non-coding RNA from Ziziphus jujuba (common jujube), 372 nucleotides. RefSeq lists it as uncharacterized. The record is from RefSeq and is a predicted model, not a curated record. NCBI's taxonomy places the organism in Eukaryota, Viridiplantae, Streptophyta, Magnoliopsida, Rosales, Rhamnaceae. The transcript has 2 exons.
AGAAAAAAAAGUCUUAUAGGGCAUAUAUAUAUAUAUAUAUAUAUAUAUAAGUAGAGAAUGCCUUGUUUUCAUAAAUACUCAUCAAUUAUAUUUGUAGAUCUCGCUUCUAUCAUUCAAUUGGUGUGCAAAUGGAAAUCUUGCAGCUGAUCGGCUCGAUUAUGAAGGGAGACAAUAUUCAACCACCGAAUCAGGUCCCGCGGGCUGAUUUUGGUUCACCGAAAAGUCGCAAUAUCAGGAGACUCGACCAACCGGCAGGGAAUAAGGGAAACAACAAACAAGGCUAUCCCAAACCAAAAAAGUUCCCCUUCUCCAAAUAAACAAUAUUUGUAUAUUAAGGAUAAAUUUCAUUUUGACCCUUUCAAUUUUAUCAUA